UGGGGAAUCUUGCGCAAUGGCCGAAAGGCUGACGCAGCGACGCCGCGUGUGGGAGGACGCCUUUCGGGGUGUAAACCACUGUUGCCCGGGACGAACACGGCUAUUCGUAGCCGCUGACGGUACCGGGUGAGGAAGCACCGGCUAACUCCGUGCCAGCAGCCGCGGUAAUACGGAGGGUGCGAGCGUUGUCCGGAAUCAUUGGGCGUAAAGGGCGCGUAGGUGGCCUGGCAAGCGUGCGGUGAAAGCUCGGGGCUCAACCCCGAGUCGGCCGUGCGAACUGCUGGGCUCGAGCACUGUAGAGGCAGGCGGAAUUCCGGGUGUAGCGGUGGAAUGCGUAGAGAUCCGGAAGAACACCGGUGGCGAAGGCGGCCUGCUGGGCAGUGGCUGACACUGAGGCGCGACAGCGUGGGGAGCAAACAG
This 420-nucleotide ribosomal RNA is filed under the name uncultured bacterium. Its description in RNAcentral is "bacterial SSU rRNA". It matches the Rfam family "Bacterial small subunit ribosomal RNA", at positions 355 to 775 of the family's 1533-position model. The record is from RNAcentral.